CCAAUAGCGUAUAUUAAAGUUGUUGCAGGUAAAAAGCUCGUAGUUGAAUUUCGGGAUCAGUACGUUGGUCGUGCCUUCGGUAUGUACUGGUGUCACUGAUUCCUCCCUUCUGAAGAACCGUCAUGCCAUUAAUUUGGUGUGGCGGGGAAUCAGGAAUGUUACUUUGAAAAAAUUAGAGUGUUUAAAGCAGGCUCGCGCUUGAAUACAUUAGCAUGGAAUAAUGAUAUAGGACGUCAAUCCUAUUUUGUUGGUUUCUAGGAUCGACGUAAUGAUUAAUAGGGAUAGUUGGGGGCAUUAGUAUUCAAUUGUCAGAGGUGAAAUUCUUGGAUUUAUUGAAGACUAACUACUGCGAAAGCAUUUGCCAAGGAUGUUUUCAUUAAUCAAGAACGAAAGUUGGGGGAUCGAAGACGAUCAGAUACCGUCGUAGUCUUAACCAUAAACUAUGCCGACUAGGGAUCGGAUGAUGUUAAUUUUUUAAUGACUCAUUCGGCGCCUUACG
RNAcentral lists this ribosomal RNA (499 nucleotides) under uncultured Glomeromycotina. RNAcentral describes it as "partial small subunit ribosomal RNA". It matches the Rfam family "Eukaryotic small subunit ribosomal RNA", at positions 591 to 1092 of the family's 1831-position model. The record is from RNAcentral. Lineage: Eukaryota; Fungi; Glomeromycota.